This 468-nucleotide ribosomal RNA is filed under the name uncultured bacterium. RNAcentral's name for it is "partial 16S ribosomal RNA". It matches the Rfam family "Bacterial small subunit ribosomal RNA", at positions 28 to 507 of the family's 1533-position model. The record is from RNAcentral.
GACGAACGCUGGCGGCGUGCUUAACACAUGCAAGUCGAACGGAAAGGCCCUGCUUUUGUGGGGUGCUCGAGUGGCGAACGGGUGAGUAUCACGUGAGUAUCCUGCCCUUGACUUUGGGAUAACUUCAGGAAAAUGGGGCUAAUACCGGAUAGGAGCUCCUGCUGCAUGGUGGGGGUUGGAAAGUUUCGGCGGUUGGGGAUGGACUCGCGGCUUAUCAGCUUGUUGGUGUGGUAGUGGCUUACCAAGGCUUUGACGGGUAGCCGGCAUGAGAGGGUGACCGGCCACAUUGGGACUGAGAUACGGCCCAGACUCCUACGGGAGGCAGCAGUGGGGAAUAUUGCACAAUGAGCGGAAGCCUGAUGCAACAACGCCGCGUGCGGGAUGACGGCCUUCGGGUUGUAAACCGCUUUCGCCUGUGACGAAGCGUGAGUGACGGUAAUGAGUAAAGAAGCACCGGCUAACUACGUG